GGUCGGGUGGUGUAGUUGGUUAUCACAUCUCGUUAACAGUUUACUGUGACAUAUUCCGAGAAGGUCCUGGGAUCGAGCCCCAGCCUGAUCA
RNAcentral lists this transfer RNA (91 nucleotides) under Rhexocercosporidium sp. MPI-PUGE-AT-0058. RNAcentral describes it as "tRNA-Val". RNAcentral also lists the same sequence under 3 other names. The record is from RNAcentral. Lineage: Eukaryota; Fungi; Ascomycota; Leotiomycetes; Helotiales.